CGAACGCUGGCGGCGUGCUUAACACAUGCAAGUCGAACGGAAAGGCCCUGCUUUUGUGGGGUGCUCGAGUGGCGAACGGGUGAGUAACACGUGAGUAACCUGCCCUUGACUUUGGGAUAACUUCAGGAAACUGGGGCUAAUACCGGAUAGGAGCUCCUGCUGCAUGGUGGGGGUUGGAAAGUUUCGGCGGUUGGGGAUGGACUCGCGGCUUAUCAGCUUGUUGGUGGGGUAGUGGCUUACCAAGGCUUUGACGGGUAGCCGGCCUGAGAGGGUGACCGGCCACAUUGGGACUGAGAUACGGCCCAGACUCCUACGGGAGGCAGCAGUGGGGAAUAUUGCACAAUGGGCGGAAGCCCGAUGCAGCAACGCCGCGUGCGGGAUGACGGCCUUCGGGUUGUAAACCGCUUUCGCCUGUGACGAAGCGUGAGUGACGGUAAUGGGUAAAGAAGCACCGGCUAACUACGUG
Molecule: ribosomal RNA, 466 nt
Filed under: uncultured bacterium
Lineage: Bacteria
Description: partial 16S ribosomal RNA
Rfam family: Bacterial small subunit ribosomal RNA
Source: RNAcentral